CCCCUAGAUGUUCUGGGCCGCACGCGCGCUACACUGAACAGUUCAACAAGUCUUAACCUUGGCCGAUAGGUCUGGGUAAUCUUUGAACGCUGUUCGUGAUUGGGAUAGACCUUUGCAAUUAUGGGUCUUCAACGAGGAAUUCCUAGUAAACGCAAGUCAUCAGCUUGCAUUGAUUACGUCCCUGCCCUUUGUACACACCGCCCGUCGCACCUACCGAUUGAAUGGUCCGGUGAAAUCUCGGGACGGCGGCUUGGUCGCUUGCGUCCGACUGCUGAAACUUGAUUAAACCAUAUCAUCUAGAGGAAGUAAAAGUCGUAACA
RNAcentral lists this ribosomal RNA (320 nucleotides) under uncultured eukaryote. RNAcentral's name for it is "partial 18S ribosomal RNA". It matches the Rfam family "Eukaryotic small subunit ribosomal RNA", at positions 1470 to 1796 of the family's 1831-position model. The record is from RNAcentral.